Molecule: ribosomal RNA, 412 nt
Filed under: uncultured bacterium
Lineage: Bacteria
Description: bacterial SSU rRNA
Rfam family: Bacterial small subunit ribosomal RNA
Source: RNAcentral
UGGGGAAUAUUGGGCAAUGGGGAACCCUGACCCAGCGACGCCGCGUGAGGGAAGAAGGUUUUCGGAUUGUAAACCUCUGUCCUUGGCGACGAUAAUGACGGUAGCCAAGGAGGAAGCCACGGCUAACUACGUGCCAGCAGCCGCGGUAAUACGUAGGUGGCGAGCGUUGUCCGGAAUUACUGGGUGUAAAGGGAGCGUAGGCGGGAGAGCAAGUCGACUGUGAAAGCUAUGGGCUUAACCCAUAGAUGCGAUCGAAACUGUUCAUCUUGAGUGAAGUAGAGGCAGGCGGAAUUCCUAGUGUAGCGGUGAAAUGCGUAAAUAUUAGGAGGAACACCAGUGGCGAAGGCGGCCUGCUGGGCUUUAACUGACGCUGAGGCUCGAAAGCGUGGGUAGCAAACAGGAUUAGAUACCC